UUGGGAACAGCACGGCCGCAAAUCUGACUCGCUCGGACCGCCCGGGCUCGGGAUUGCGGAAGUGU
This 65-nucleotide non-coding RNA is filed under the name Halolamina rubra. Its description in RNAcentral is "S15-Halobacteria ribosomal protein leader". It matches the Rfam family "S15-Halobacteria ribosomal protein leader". The record is from RNAcentral. Lineage: Archaea; Methanobacteriati; Methanobacteriota; Halobacteria; Halobacteriales; Haloferacaceae.